Lynx canadensis (Canada lynx) is the source of this 767-nucleotide long non-coding RNA. RefSeq lists it as uncharacterized. NCBI's taxonomy places the organism in Eukaryota, Metazoa, Chordata, Mammalia, Carnivora, Felidae. The transcript has 3 exons. The record is from RefSeq and is a predicted model, not a curated record.
GGUUGGACUGGAAGUAGCCGAAAUGUCAGAGAAUGGGAGUUGAUACUCAGGGAGAUAAAAACAUAAAAGCAAAUCGUUUUUUAAAUGUAUUAAACCAAGUGUACUGGAUAUGUUUCCCAAGCAACUGCCCUCAGGUGGAAUUCCGAAAAAACAAAGUGGAUUUUGAGAAUCUGUGGGGUGGAAAUAGAACAAUAGCAUCUUUGGGAAAGGUUCUUUAGUUCAGCGACCCAUUUGCUCUCUGACUACCGUUGCCUGAAAUACCCGUAAACAUAUCAGGCCGCGGAGGAGGGCGAAGUGAAAGAAACAUUUUCAGUAUCGUAUCCCGCCCCCCACCUAGAGAUGGCCUCGCGUGUUAUUCUACAAAGGUCUGGACAUAAUUACUACACCAUCUUACUUGCAAAUGGGUCUGGACACCUUCUCUCCUUGAUCGAGUUCUCUGUUCUGCUAACCAAGUGUUUGCUUCAGAAGCCUGAUAACCUCUCUAUCACCAAACACCAACCGGCCGAGACCAAGUGAGCCAUGCAGGUCAGCUCCAGUACCCUGGACAACCUGGAGAAUCAAAGACUCCAACCUCCAGUUUCCCAUCUGAAGCUCUUCAGUGAGGCACAGGUUACCUCAGAGUGGGAGAUCAAAUGCAAGGCCACACAACUUCACACGUGCCCAGGUUUGCAGAGGGCCUAGGAGCAAUUGCUGCAUCUUGCCUCCUUGUCUACAUGUGUUAAUUGGUUUGCUCCCUGAAUUGUUAAUUGUUAUCAUUAAGAAAUAAA